Long non-coding RNA from Sarcophilus harrisii (Tasmanian devil), 6364 nucleotides. RefSeq lists it as uncharacterized. The record is from RefSeq and is a predicted model, not a curated record. NCBI's taxonomy places the organism in Eukaryota, Metazoa, Chordata, Mammalia, Dasyuromorphia, Dasyuridae. The transcript has 5 exons.
UUCUUCCUAUCCCUCCUCUUUGGGUCUCUGUGUGUUCACAUCUGCAUACAGCCUAGUAAAGAACUAUUUUGGGAUUCAAUUAGGGUCUGCUCUCAUCUUCUUGCCAGGGUCCCUCACAAAUUUAUUAUCCACUCUGCCUUGGUUCCAAAUUAAAGCCAUCAUCUAUAAUAGUUCACCAGAUUUGGGGAGCUUUUCCUUUUGAUACUAGUGACACUGAGAACUGACUUGUGAACUCCCAGGCAGCAGGAGAAUAUUAAUGGUAAGUCGUUGGCCAUUUACCCUGCCCCCCGCCCCUCUCACUUCACUGGGGAGAACUCUGGGAGGUCUGUAAGGUCGGGAUAGAUCUAUAUUGUAAGAGGCAGUGAGACUGAAAUAGCAUUACUAUUCCAUUUGGGUCUGUUGUCGUACUUAAAACAAAAAGACUAUUAUGAAGCCCAUAGAUCAGCUGCCGUAAAAGCUUCCAUAAAGCCCUGAUCGCUAUAUGAGGUUAUAACAGCAGUGUUAAUCUUCUCUACAGUGUUUACACAGCUAGCUCAUCCAUGGUGUCGCUGGACUUGGGCCAGCUUGCUAGAGAACAUUCUUGAUUAAAAAAUGUAAAAGUUGUGUUGCUUUAAGCAGUGACCCUAGGAGUUUACAUAUACCUGGGUUAUCAGUUCCCUCAUAAUUCAUGGAUCUGAAUUGCAAAUUUGGGGGAGGCUGGUUUGGAUUUCACACUCUUGUGAUUCAGUUGGGGCAAAGGAUUUAAUUACACUGCCAGUCCAGCAUGGAGGUAUCAGCCCAGGCUUCUCAACAAGGAAACCAAAUCUAUUUUGGAGAUGCAUGUCAAUUUUAUCCCCCCCCCCUUCCAGAUGCAUGUCAAUUGCCCCCCCCCUUUUCAUAGAAACUUUUUGGGCUUCUGAUUGGUUUUCCAAAUUAGAUAAGGAAGUUUAUGGUUCACACUCGGAACUGAGGUUCUCCCAAUGCCACACUAGUUAACUGGGAUCCUUACAAGAAAUGGUUAUCCCAGUAAUAAACUUGGAAGUGUUUUUGACCCAUUGACAUUUUGAAAGCAGGUCAUUUAUAGGGGGAGAAGAAGCAUUUUAACUAUUUAAAAUGUAAACUCAUAAGCACAUGAAAGCUGAAAGAGAUCAAAACUAAUUUUUUCCUCCUCCAUAAAAUGAGAAAAAUAAUAGCAGCUUCCUCCUAGGUUGUUGCCAAGAACAAAUCAGAGGAUAUUUGCAAAGCACAUUAUUAUUGUUGUUAUUAUUAUUUCCUUUAUCAGAUUCAUGUUUUCCUUUCCUACUUCCAAUCCUCCCUCCACCCAUUGCAAUAGACACUUCUGCCUUUUUUUCCCCCCUGAAUUUUUAUGUUGUCCUUUUAAUAGCCAACCCUCAAUUGGAAUGAGGAUGGAAAAGCAAAAUUUAUUUAGAAAGAUAAUUUUUCCCAUGACCAUAGAAAUGAUCAGUAUCCUAAAGGUUUCUUCCCCCCAUCCCUAAACAUUCUAUCUUUAGCUUUUCUCUUAAUAAACCCUGAAAAACUAUAAAUCCCCAAAUCCUCCUCAUCCAGUCUAAUUUCACUAAUUUCAAUCUAUUUUGUUUAUUUAUUUGUUUUGGGGAAACAGCCUUUAGAUAGGCUGGCAACUGUUAUUAUUUUUUAAAACCCAAUUUGUGUUUGAUACACGUUUAGAAAUGUCAAUCUCCAUCUUUCUUCAAUUGUCCAAUCUGACUGAAAAAUAGUCUCUGAUGAAAAUUUUGCAUAUCGUAUCUAUGUCUUAACUCCAACAUUUAGACAAUCUGCCAAGAAAACAUUUUGCUUUUGAUCUUGAAAUAAAGGGGGAAAAAACAACCAAAAACCACUUGCUUUUACAAUCAUGGAAAGAAAAGCAUUUCUUUUAAGAAAACCCAGGUUAGCAGGACAAAAGCAUCAUGGCAUGUGAUCUGUUGAAAGACAUUUGGAAAAUGAAAGUCUUGCCUAAAGUAUAACUUAAUCUCACUGGGGCAAUGGGCACAAUCUGGAAUGUCUUGCUCGGGCACACAGUGAGUGAAGGAAGCCAACCAGUAGCUUGCAUGAACCUAGGCUCUUUGGAAGCAGGAUCCAUCUGUAUUUCACAACUAAUCAUUUAAUAUAAAACUUUCCUGAGUCAAACAGGUUUUAGAGAAAAUACAAAUCAAAUACUUAACACAGCUAACAUUUCCUGUCCGGGGAAGCAUUUGUUUAGAGAGAGUGAAGUUUUUUAAAGUGUAGUUUCAUUGGAAAACCAAUUAAUUUCCAGCCUGCAGCAGGAUGUAUUAGCUCUUUAAUAUGACUUGCUUUAGGCUGGCUUUUCACAGAGCCGAAUGUGUAGACAUUUGGCCCAGUGACUUUGUAAUAUGUAGGCAGGGGACCAACAUUCAAUAUCCCAAUUUGGGAUUUAUUUUAAUGUAUACUAUUAUCUCUGGUCACAGGAAAGAUUAAUAUAUAUGUGUAUAUAUAUAUAUAUAUAUAUAUAUAUAUUUAUGUACAUUCCCCUCCUCUUUACUCCUGUUAGUUUGCUUCUUCUGUCCUAGUCCUGGAAAAAUGAAUUAUAUAUUUUAAUUCGUUGUAUUUCCUCUAUUGAUUGUUUAGUUAGUGACUUUGCCAACUUCCUGGAGGUUCAUGUCGGAUUCUGCAAAAGGACUGCAUUUCCUUUUGGAAUGGGGACUGAGAAAGAGAGGCAGCAGAGGCCCGGGUCCACCAGUAAAUUCUCUAUAUAUGCUGAAAGACCAGUGAUGUCACCAUGUGGAUACUUCCUGGAAUGAUGCAGGCGGAAACCCCUCUCUGUCCCAUGGAGAUGGUUUUGACCAUAAAUCGCAUCUACCUGCCUGCCUUUCCCCUCCAGUCACUGAUAAAGGAUGGGAUGAUCCAACAAAGAAGCCAUGUGCCAUCAUCUCAGCACCAGCUCUGACACUGUUCCAAGAUUUUGGCCAUCGCUGAGGCUCCAUUCCAUGACCCGCAUAAAGAUGCCACAGCCACCAAUGACCAUAACUAAUAACACCUGCUUGGUGAACUCAGGGAGCCCAAGAAUGGAAUGGAGGCAGCUUGGUAAGAAAUUCCAUCGCUGCAAUAUGGAAGUGUUUAAGCCUGGCCAACACCAGUCAGGGUAGCAGAGAUCUGAACCUUUAAAUUACCGCCAUUCCCUGCCUGAGGGAAAAGUAAAUAAACAAUUCACAGCUGCAUCACCUAAACACAGAAACACAGCUAUCUCUUUGGGGCUGUGAUUGCUGAACAAGUAAUUAAGUGGGAAAUGUGAGCCCUCAAUGUCAGUGUGACAUGAUAAAGGUCUCAGGCUGUAAAUUAACUGAACCCCAGAGAGACCUGGGGAUUAACCCUUGCAGCCAGGAGAGGUGAGAGCAGUCUUAUCAGCCCAAAGUGUCAGCUUCAUGGAAAUGGGAUGCAAUAUAGGCCAUGGAUCCAACACUCUGAACUCACCAGGGCUGUUUUUAUCUGAUUAUUUAAACGCUCUGGAAUUUGGAUGACUUCCCUGUGGAGCCCUUGUAAACGCUCAAGGGAAAGGUAGACUGAGUAAGGCUUGGAGAGUGAAAUUCCUUGGGUUUAGUACUUCUCUCAAGGAACCAAUUAAACACCUAUUUUGUUGUUGUUGUUUUUAGAAAUUGGCGAUGUCCAAUAGUAUACGAGGGGCUAGGUUUCUAAAUGGAAAAAAAAAUGCUUAAAGGUUGGGUUAGGAGCACGUUUGUAAUGAGAUAAUUGGACAAACAACAUCUGGCUGGAAGUUAGCUAAUUUGAGUUUCAAUUUUGUUUUCAAUAGUUCUAGUUCUGUGACUUUGGUUGACUUAACUUUUUAGAACCUCAGCUUCUCCAUUUGUGAAAGGAUUAUAGGGAUGAUAGCUCACAUGUAAGCAUGGCUUUCAGGUUUACAAAGCAUCUUACACACAUUUUCUUGUUGGAGAGGUAGUAUGCAUUUGGAAUCAAAGUGCCUUGCAUUGAAUCAUGACUAUGGGUGCUGAUUACCUGUGGGAUGACCUUGUGCAAGUCAGUUCACAGGUUCCUCAUCAGUAAGAUAAGAGGAUUGGAUAAUAUUGUCCCUAUGGUCCAUACUGUACAAUGGAACAAGUCAGCUCCAGGGUCAGACAACUUCGGUUCAAAUCUCAACUCUGCUGCUUAGUACCUUAGGCAUCUCACCCAACUGACCUGGACUUCAGUUUCCUCAAAGAGUUGAACCAGAAGACUUCCGAGUUAGUUUUCUCAUAGCGCUAUACUUAUAAUCCUUCCACUAUCUAUUACUCUUUUGUUUUUCCAACAAACCUAUUAGACCAGUUGAGUAUUAUACCCUCAUAGAAAAAGUAACAGUUUUUAGAAGGGAUUUCCUCAGAGAAGUAAACUCACAUUUUACUUUACAUACCUCACAGGGCUUUUAUCUAUGUCAAGUAAGAGCAUCUAAGUGUUCUAUUUUGGUAGAGUUCUGUUUAAAUAGAAAUUAUAAUAAUUAUUACUAUUAUUAUUAUUAUCAUAAGUAUCAUAGUAUGCCUUAAAGAAAAGUGAUAGCUUUCCCCCUCCUUGGAUAGACAGACUUCUCCAUAGACAGAGGGAUUCAGAAUAGAAAAUAUGAGCUCCAUAUGACAAAUAAAGGAAUAGAUUGGAAUAUGCUUUGAUGGAAAUCACUAGAAAUUAGUGGGAGACUGUGAGAACUGUUAUGGUAAUAGAGAAAAAGACAUUUGGUUGGGAGAUUUUUUGGUUCAUUCUUGUUGGUAAUUUAUAAUGUUAACUUGGGGCAAACUGACUAAGGGGACUUAUGGGACCCAGUUCUCUGCUCCAUGAAAUAAGAAGGUUGGACUAGAUCAGGAAUUGUUGCCCCAGAAUCCACAGACUCCCAAGAAAACCAGGCAAAAAUUUUAGGGGCUUUAUGAACUUGGAUAGUUCCUUGGAUAGGAAAAUAAUUCAUCUUAAUUUUCACUAACAUCUAACUGAAUGAAUUCAAUUAUGAAUACAGGUAAUAUAUCACUGAAAUAUUAAGGUUGUCCAGACUACCAAAGGGGUUCAUUAAACAAAAAAAAAUGUUAGGAACUCCUGGACUCUGUGAUUUCUAAGGAUCCAUCUCCAACAUUCUGUACUCUGAGAUUUUUUUUUUGCUCUGGUAUUCUCUUAUGCAGGUAUUUUCUUGUUCUAGAGUUCUGUGGAUUUUGAAGGCUGUUUCAAGGGCUAAAGCAAUAUUGAUGGGGUAAUUGCAGUUCAUCAUCGAUUUACAGUGAGGUUUCAAUUAGUGCAAAUAAAGAAUCCCCUGGAGUGGCUGCAUGUAUUUGAAUUCACAACAUUGAACGUUAUUUCUAUGUCAAAUAUAGCCCAACCUAAUGGAAAUAUGCAGUGUGAAUCUGAAUACUGUAGUCACUUUAAUGACUUUAUUUUUCAUACUAAUCAAUUCCUGUUUGUAUUAUUAAAUGACUUUGGUUUCUUGUUAAUUCUGGCAAAGACAUUUGUUAAUAUAGAGUAAAAUUUACCAUGAUGUUGUGGAAAGGGUUAGGGUUAGGACUUCUGUCCAGUCAAUUAUCAAAAUUCCAAAUUAAGGAAUAAUUCCUUAUUAUUGUUGUGUUAAGCAAACCAUAGCCUCUCUGGACUCUUUUCUAGAUGAGGGCUAAAGUUAAGGGAUUUGGAUUCAAAAUCAUCCUCUUCCAGGUAAUGAAAUGUUAGUUUAGAGCUACCCAGGGGAGGGAGGGAGGAAGGGAUAAAGGGAAGAAUUGCUUAAAUGCCUAAGGUCUCACACAAAUCUUGUGACAGAGUCUCCAGUUCCUUGUGCCGGAUCGUAGACUCUAUAGGAUAAAGGUUGAGGCAGGGAGUGAAGCACUUCUGAACUCUGACUCUUACCUCAUGUUUGGAACUCUCCUCUUCAUCUUCAUCUCCAGCUUUCUUCAAAUCUCAGCUAAACUCUCAACUUCUUCAAAAAACCUUUUCCAAUACCACUUAAAACCAGUGCCCUCCUAACUUUCUCAGUCUGUUGUCUGUAGAUAAAUGCUUGAUUGACUGUUUAUCUAUCAUCUGCUUAAAGACUUCCAGUGUGAAAGAAAUCCCCUAUUGCCUGAAGCAACCCAUUUCUCUCUUGAAUAGCUGCAAGGUUUACCUUUCACACAAUAUGGAUUUCCCUUUUUGCUACUCCAGUUCUGCCUCCUAGAUUCAAAUAGUUCUAACUCAUUCAAAUACUUGAAUGUGAUAUAAUGAUCCUUCUAAGUGUUCCUUUUUUAAUGCUAUGCAUCCCUUUCCCUUUAUCUUUACCCAGUCUUCAUAAAGCAUGAAUUCAAGAUUAUUUCCUGUUUAUUCUGGCUGAACCUCAUCUAGGCAUUUUUCAGCUUAUCUGUAAUGGUGGAUCCUGAAAUCAAAUCUGAUCUCAGACCUUUACAUAGCUGUGUGAUCCUGUAGA